This is a long non-coding RNA of Mytilus californianus (California mussel), 3839 nucleotides long. RefSeq lists it as uncharacterized. The transcript is spliced from 2 exons. NCBI's taxonomy places the organism in Eukaryota, Metazoa, Mollusca, Bivalvia, Mytilida, Mytilidae. The record is from RefSeq and is a predicted model, not a curated record.
CAUCCUUCCAACCUAUUUAAUUAAGUACCAAUUGUUAGUAAUGGUUAGUGUUGAUACUUUAAGAAUAAGAUGUUUUUUAUAUUAAGAUACAACCUGUAGAGGGAUGGAUAAUUUUGCAUGGAGACAUACUUUUCAAUUAAAUAUUUUUAAACCAAAUAUAAAAAUGUGUGUUUUCUGUUACUACUAGGAAUUGAACAACAGAAUGAGUAACAGUUCAUUUUCAAAUAAACAAAAAUAAAAUGAAUAUGAAUAUUUUAAAAAGAAUACUUUUCACUACCAAUUAUAACCUCCUCAAUGGUCCUAUGCUUGCCUGAUGUGUUGGAGGUAAAGGGCUCUAUUCCAUGUAUGGACCAACCAAAGACUUUAAAAGGGGUAUUUGCUGCUUCUCCCUUAAGUAGUAUUUAAAAGUAAGAGCAAAGUCUAGUUGACUCUGAGUCAGAAUAAUGUAUCCGGAAGGGUUGGAGAUCUUUCUCAGACUAACAUCCUUUACUUUGGGAAAUUCCCAAAAUUAUACUGAUAAACCUUGCAUUACGAAAUUGGUAUCUUAAAUGUUCUGUUCUGAAAAUUCCUUUAAAAAUCUGUAAAAUGGUUUAGGAAUAGCUGAUACAUAUAUGUUCUACGUCUGAUUUUUAAGGGCAAUUUGAUCUAAAAUUUGAAAAUUUGAAAAAUUAUUUCACCAUUUUUCAACUUUAUCUUUAACAUCAGACAUGAAUUAUGGUUUUAUUAAAAUUUAAAGGGAAUAUAUCAUUAUUCCUUUUCAUUUAUAAAUAUCCAUAUUAUUUUAUCCUGAAAUUUCCAAAUGAAGGACAAAAGGUAUUAACAUUAUUUAUCUUUAUUUAAAAUGUAUUAACUAAUCUUUUGACGUUUUUUUGUUUGUGUUGUUGGUUGCUGUUCACUUACAUAUAUCAAAACAAUCCUCAGAAAUAAAAAUGUAUACUCUUAAUUAUAUUUAAUUCCAGUUAAAAGAAUGUAUCCAUUCCGUUUCAUGAUAUAAUUAAAUCCAAAAUUCCAGUUAAAAGAAUGUGUCCAUUCCGUAUCAUGAUAUAAUUAAAUCCUCCAAAUUCCAGUUAAAAGAAUGUAUCCAUUCCGUAUCAUGAUAUAAUUAAAUCCAAAAUUCAAGUUAAAAGAAUGUAUCCAUUCCGUAUCAUGGUAAAACAAGUGAAACUGUGAGCUACUGCCCACUGAGGAUACCCCAACAUAUACUUCAGUACGCAGGAAGUUGUCGAGUUGCGAAUCCAAAAACGCCUCACACAGUAUAGCUGACUUUUAUCAGCCCUGAAACCAAAUUUCAGAAAUCCUUGUAUUGAAGUUCCUGAUAAAAAGGUGACGAAAAUUUCCACCUUAGCUAUCAUGUGUAAAUGAUACAAGUGUUUGGUUAACAGGAAGUUGUUGAGUGAUGAAUCUGAAAAUGCAUCACACAGUAUAGCUGCAUUUUAUCAACACUGAACCAAAUUUCAGAAAUCCUUGUAUUGUUGAUGCUGACAGACUGAAUGAUGGACAGACAGACAGAGGUAAAACAGUAUACCCCCACUUUUUUAAAGGGUUUAUUUUAAUCCCCCAAAUUCCAGUUAAAAGAAUGUAUCCAUUCCGUAUCAUGAUAUUAUUAAAUCCCAAAUUCAGUUUAAAGAAUGUAUCCAUUCCAUAUCAUGAUAUAAUUAAAUCCCAAAUUCAAGUAAAAAGAAUGUAUCCAUUCUGUUUCAUGAUAUGAUUAAAUCCCCCAAAUUCAAAUUAAAAGAAUGUAUCCAUUCUGUAUCAUGAUAUAAUUAAAUCCGAAAUUCAAGUAAAAAGAAUGUAUCCAUUCUGUUUCAUAUGAUUAAAUCCACCAAAUUCAAAUUAAAAGAAUGUAUCCAUUCCUUAUCAUGAUAUAAUUAAAUCCGAAAUUCAAGUAAAAAGAAUGUAUCCAUUCUGUUUCAUAUGAUUAAAUCCACCAAAUUCAAAUUAAAAGAAUGUAUCCAUUCCUUAUCAUGAUAUAAUUAAAUCCCAAAUUCAAGUAAAAAGAAUGUAUCCAUUCCGUAUCAUGAUAUGAUUAAAUCCUAAAUUCAAGUUAAAAGAAUGUAUCCAUUCUGUAUCAUGAUAUUAUUAAAUCCCCCAAAUUCCAGUUAAAAGAAUGUAUCCAUUCCAUAUCAUCAUAUAGUUAAAUCCCAAAUUCAAGUUAAAAGAAUGUAUCCAUUCCGUAUCAUGAUAUAAUUAAAUCCCAAAUUCAAGUAAAAAGAAUGUAUCCAUUCUGUUUCAUGAUAUGAUUAAAUCCCCCAAAUUCAAAUUAAAAGAAUGUAUCCAUUCCGUAUCAUGAUAUAAUUAAAUCCCAAAUUCAAUUUAAAGAAUGUAUCCAUUCUGUAUCAUGAUAUAAUUAAAUCCCAAAUUCAAGUAAAAAGAAUGUAUCCAUUCUGUUUCAUGAUAUGAUUAAAUCCCCCAAAUUCAAAUUAAAAGAAUGUAUCCAUUCCGUAUCAUGAUAUAAUUAAAUCCCAAAUUCAAGUAAAAAGAAUGUAUCCAUUCUGUUUCAUGAUAUGAUUAAAUCCCCCAAAUUCAAAUUAAAAGAAUGUAUCCAUUCCGUAUCAUGAUAUAAUUAAAUCCCAAAUUCAAGUAAAAAAAAUGUAUCCAUUCUGAUUCAUGAUAUGAUUAAAUCCCCCAAAUUCAAAUUAAAAGAAUGUAUCCAUUCCGUAUCAUGAUAUAAUUAAAUCCCAAAUUCAAGUAAAAAGAAUGUAUCCAUUCUGUUUCAUGAUAUGAUUAAAUCCCCCAAAUUCAAAUUAAAAGAAUGUAUCCAUUCCGUAUCAUGAUAUAAUUAAAUCCCAAAUUCAAGUUAAAAGAAUGUAUUCAUUCCGUAUCAUGAUAUAAUUAAAUCCCAAAUUCAAGUUAAAAGAAUGUAUCCAUUCCGUAUCAUGAUAUAAUUAAAUCCCAAAUUCAAGUAAAAAGAAAGUAUCCAUUCUGUUUCAUGAUAUGAUUAAAUCCCCCAAAUUCAAAUUAAAAGAAUGUAUCCAUUCCGUAUCAUGAUACAUUGUAUAAUUAAAUCCCAAAUUCAAGUUAAAAGAAUGUAUCCAUUCCGUAUCAUGAUAUAAUUAAAUCCCAAAUUCAAGUAAAAAGAAUGUAUCCAUUCCGUAUCAUGAUAUAAUUAAAUCCCAAAUUCAAGUAAAAAGAAUGUAUCCAUUCUGUUCCAUGAUAUGAUUAAAUCCCCCAAAUUCAAAUUAAAAGAAUGUAUCCAUUCCGUAUCAUGAUAAAAUUAAAUCCCAAAUUCCAGUUAAAAGAAUGUAUCCAUUCUGUAUCAUGAUAUUAUUAAAUCCCCCAAAUUCCAGUUAAAAGAUGUAUCCAUUCCGUAUCAUGAUAUAAUUAAAUCCCAAAUUCAAGUUAAAAGAAUGUAUCCAUUCCGUAUCAUGAUAUAAUUAAAUCCCAAAUUCAAGUUAAAAGAAUGUAUCCAUUCUGUUUCAUGAUAUGAUUAAAUCCCCCAAAUUCAAAUUAAAAGAAUGUAUCCAUUCCGUAUCAUGAUAUAAUUAAAUCCCAAAUUCAAGUUAAAAGAAUGUAUCCAUUCCGUAUCAUGAUAUAAUUAAAUCCCAAAUUCAAGUUAAAAGAAUGUAUCCAUUCUGUAUCAUGAUAUUAUUAAAUCCCCCAAAUUCCAGUUAAAAGAAUGUAUCCAUUCCGUAUCAUGAUAUAAUUAAAUCCCAAAUUCAAGUUAAAAGAAUGUAUCCAUUCCAUAUCAUGAUAUAAUUUAAUCCCAAAUUCAAGAUAAAAUAAUGGACCCAUUUCUGCAUCACGAUAUAAUUAAACCCCAAAGAUUUUUUUUCUUUUUUUCUUAAAAACAUUAAAAACCGUCAUCACCCAUGCAUAUUUUUUUUUUUUUUUUUUUUUUU